AAUGAACGCUGGCGGCGUGCUUAACACAUGCAAGUCGAGCGAGGCGGAGGGGGCAACUCCUCUAGCCGAGCGGCGGACGGGUGAGUAACACGUGGGUAACCUGCCCGGAAGUGGGGAAUACCUCGGGAAACUCGAGCUAAUGCCGCAUGACAUUUCCGGGACGAAAGUCCUGGCGAUCAAAGCGGGGUCGCAAGAUCUCGCGCUACCGGAUGGGCCCGCGCCCGAUUAGCUAGUUGGUGAGGUAACGGCCCACCAAGGCUUCGAUCGGUAGCCGGCCUGAGAGGAUGAUCGGCCACACCGGAACUGAGACACGGUCCGGACUCCUACGGGAGGCAGCAGUGGGGAAUCUUGCGCAAUGGGCGAAAGCCUGACGCAGCAACGCCGCGUGGAGGAUGAAGGCCCUUGGGUUGUAAACUCCUGUCGGCUGGGAAGAAAUCGUGCGGUGCUCAUACCACCGUAUGUUGACUGUACCAGCAAAGGAAGCCCCGGCUAACUCUGUGCCAGCAGCCGCGGUAA
Molecule: ribosomal RNA, 516 nt
Filed under: uncultured bacterium
Lineage: Bacteria
Description: bacterial SSU rRNA
Rfam family: Bacterial small subunit ribosomal RNA
Source: RNAcentral